AAGGAUAAAUAUGACCUACAUGAUUGAUUUAUAAUCUAAGAAGAUUAGAAUUGAGUUAUAGAGCUUAAGAGAGACGAGAGCAAAUAAUUGAGUUUUACACUUUAGAAUGUUAUCUUAAGGAUGUCUUGUUACAAGUAUAUGUACAUCUUUGAAGGUUUGGUUUUCAAAUGUAUUUUUGUGUAUUGGUUUCAAUAAAUUGAAAUAGUUAUACCAUCUUUGAAGGUUCCCCGUGUUUUUUACAUAUUAUGUUAGUUUGUUCAUGAAAAUAAAGUGGAGCAGGGUGUUCUAUGAGUUUGUUGGAUUAUUCUCAAAAAAAUAAUAGUGGGAUGCUAUCCCCCAUUCCCCACUAAGAUAGAUUAUGUUAGUUUUUUGUUAGCACUAUUGCACUCUUUUUUCCUUCUCCUGAUNN
Molecule: long non-coding RNA, 409 nt
Filed under: Trifolium pratense (red clover)
Lineage: Eukaryota; Viridiplantae; Streptophyta; Magnoliopsida; Fabales; Fabaceae
Description: long non-coding RNA (TPRA_LNC005287)
Source: RNAcentral